Molecule: ribosomal RNA, 468 nt
Filed under: uncultured bacterium
Lineage: Bacteria
Description: partial 16S ribosomal RNA
Rfam family: Bacterial small subunit ribosomal RNA
Source: RNAcentral
GACGAACGCUGGCGGCGUGCUUAACACACGCAAGUCGAACGGAAAGGCCCUGCUUUUUUGGGGUGCUCUAGUUGCGAACGGGUGAGUAACCCGUGGGUAACCUGCCCUUGACUUUGGGAUAAGUUCAGGCAGCUGGGGCUAAUACCGGCUAGGAGCUCCUGCUGCAUGGUGGGGGUUGGAAAGUUUCGGCGGUUGGGGGUGGACUCGCGGAUUAUCAGCUUGUUGGUGGGGUAGUGACUUACCAAGGCUUUGACGGGUAGCCGGCCUGAGAGGGUGACCGGACACAUUGGGACUGAGAUACGGCCCAGACCCCUACGGGAGGCAGCAGUGGGGAAUAUUGCACAAUGGGCGGAAGCCUAAUGCAGCAACGCCGCGCGCGGGAUGACGGCAAUCGGGUUGUAAACCGCUUUCGCCUGUGACGAAGCGUGAGUGACGGUAAUGGGUAAAGAAGCACCGGCUAACUACGUG